This is a long non-coding RNA of Micropterus dolomieu (smallmouth bass), 477 nucleotides long. RefSeq lists it as uncharacterized. The transcript has 3 exons. Lineage: Eukaryota; Metazoa; Chordata; Actinopteri; Centrarchiformes; Centrarchidae. The record is from RefSeq and is a predicted model, not a curated record.
UGACUCGUACCCACGGCGCUGCGUACAUUUAACCAUCACUUUCUCUGACGACUCAUGAACAUGUUGACCGGCCGUCGCCAACGAGCUGCUGAAGAAAGUCAUGUGACAAAAACCAACACAAAUCCACGUUAGUGACGACGGCGCGGCUGUCACCUUUUGUUCAUCUCGUCACACUUCACCUGCCGUGAGGCGUUCAUCCCAAACAACAGAAACAUCCCUUUCAUCAAAGCCGAGGCGGUGAAGGGAACGUCGGCGCUCCUCUGUGACAGACGGAUAUCAGCUGACGGAUGGCCCGGCCGGUCAGAGGUCAUUACCUCACGGGCUGAUGGGAAACACUCAGAGUGCAGGUGGACAGAAACCUUUCCGGGUGGUGUUAGUGAUGUCUACGUGGCUCCGCCUCUGCUCCGUCCUGAUUGGCUCUGACAGGUUGAUCAAUAACCCACCGAGGAUGAAGGUUAAAUAAAUUUGUGCUGUUGA